AUCCAGAUAGCGAGUCCCAAAUUGGACGAAACGCGCAUCCUGGAU
Molecule: non-coding RNA, 45 nt
Filed under: Trichobilharzia regenti
Lineage: Eukaryota; Metazoa; Platyhelminthes; Trematoda; Strigeidida; Schistosomatidae
Source: RNAcentral